RNAcentral lists this transfer RNA (75 nucleotides) under Bacteroidales bacterium. Its description in RNAcentral is "tRNA-Phe". It matches the Rfam family "tRNA". From Rfam's summary of the family: Transfer RNA (tRNA) molecules are approximately 80 nucleotides in length. Their secondary structure includes four short double-helical elements and three loops (D, anti-codon, and T loops). The record is from RNAcentral. Lineage: Bacteria; Pseudomonadati; Bacteroidota; Bacteroidia; Bacteroidales.
GGUGCCUUAGCUCAGUCGGUAGAGCAAUGGACUGAAAAUCCAUGUGUCCCUGGUUCGAUUCCUGGAGGCACCACC